Molecule: long non-coding RNA, 1383 nt
Filed under: Sus scrofa (pig)
Lineage: Eukaryota; Metazoa; Chordata; Mammalia; Artiodactyla; Suidae
Description: lncRNA (ENSSSCG00070012014.1)
Source: RNAcentral
CUGGCGUUGCCGUGAACUGUGGUAUAAAUCGCAUAGGUGGCUUGUGGCUGUGGCUGUGGUGUAGGCUGGCAGCUGUAGCUCCCAUUCUACCCCUAGCCUGGGAAUUCCAUAUGCUGCGAGUGUGGCCCUAAAAAAAAAAAAAAAAAAAAUCCCUUACAUCAUUCAGUUGUAUGCCCAUGUGCAAAUAUGCCAGUUUUCGAUAAGUCCAAGAGAAGCAUUUUUUUUUUUUUUUAACCAGGGUUGGAAUAAAUUGUUGCGACAUUGGCUGACCAGCAGAAGCUGUAGCUGAGUGGCGCUGAAGCCGCAGAAGUUUUUAAAUAUAUAUGUAUUUAUUUUAAAACCCUAGACGUGCACGACGGUAGUGAAAUUCUUACACUAAAACAAACCGAGGAGAGGCAAACAGUACCAGACACUCUACGUAAAUGAUGCUUUUUCUUUUCCUCCCGGUCCCAUUCCCGUCCUCCUUCUCCUCCUCCUCCUCUUCAGCAAAGAAUCCUACGAGUUGCUUAGACUUGUUUUGCGGUCUUGACUGUUUUGCGGCGUCUCCCUGACAGCCGAAGCAGCGAUUUUUCUCAGCAUCUUCUUACCUCACUCUCUUACAUCAAGCUCAGAAAGAAAAGAGUUGACCUUUUCCUAUGACAGAUGGGCAAGCUGAGAUGCAAAGAGACGCAGGACUCAUUAGAGGUGCCUCCGGUGUGCGUGGCCAUGCCAGCUUUGUUUGGACCUCUUAAAACCCACAGCCUCAUCCUGGCAGGCUUUUCCUUGACCACCUGCUCUAAAAGGUGAGGAUGGGACUCUCCUGUUACUGAAAGAGCUUUUCUUAUGGCACUCGUGGGCUAGGGAAAAAAAAAAAAAUCGCUUCUGUCCUUUGCCCGUGUAAGUUCCUAAUUCACUUUGCUGAACUGUCAGCUGUCUGGAAAACAGGAGAACCUUCUGAAACAAACAGUGCAUCUGUAGGGCCCUUAGCUGAUGCUUCUCCACAGAUGCUGUGUGGCUGCUUCUGCAGAGGGCAGAGCCCUGAACAGGAUGGGACCAGCCUGAAAGGCCCCUCUGAGGGAGCAACGUGUGGUUAAUGGAGCCCCAAAGCCAAACAGCACCCCAAAAGGCAGUCGUGGGGUUCUGUGUCAAAGUCCUGGAAAUGACCAGAUGCUCCGGGGCUCUCUGACCAGGAACAGAUAAAAAAGAAAUAUUCAAUGUCCUCCUGCUUGGCCAAAGCACGCCCUUGAUGCUGGGUUUUUGAAAUUCCUUAGCCUUCCAGCCUUCUUCUUCUUCUUUGGGUGUGCCUUUAUUUUUAGUAUUUUCCUCCUAUUUUCUAUUUUUUUUUUAAUAGCAGAUAAGGGAUCCCUGAUCUCAGUUUCACAUUUCCUACAUUUUAAAAACAAC